UACGGAGGGGGCUAGCGUUGUUCGGAAUUACUGGGCGUAAAGCGCGCGUAGGCGGGCUGUUAAGUCGGGGGUGAAAUCCCGGGGCUCAACCCCGGAACGGCCUCCGAUACUGGCAGCCUUGAGGUCGGGAGAGGUGAGUGGAAUGGCGAGUGUAGAGGUGAAAUUCGUAGAUAUUCGCCGGAACACCAGUGGCGAAGGCGGCUCACUGGCCCGAUACUGACGCUGAGGUGUGACAGCGUGGGGAGCAAACAGG
This 253-nucleotide ribosomal RNA is filed under the name uncultured bacterium. Its description in RNAcentral is "partial 16S ribosomal RNA". It matches the Rfam family "Bacterial small subunit ribosomal RNA", at positions 524 to 776 of the family's 1533-position model. The record is from RNAcentral.